AUUGAACGCUGGCGGCAUGCCUUACACAUGCAAGUCGAACGGCAGCACGGGAUUCAGGCAACUGAGCCCUGGUGGCGAGUGGCGAACGGGUGAGUAAUGCAUCGGAACGUGCCCAGUAGUGGGGGAUAACUAGUCGAAAGAUUAGCUAAUACCGCAUACGACCUAUGGGUGAAAGCGGGGGAUUCGCAAGAACCUCGCGCUAUCGGAGCGGCCGAUGCUGAUUAGCUAGUUGGCGGGUAAAAGCCCACCAAGGCUUCGAUCAGUAGCUGGUCUGAGAGGACGACCAGCCACACUGGGACUGAGACACGGCCCA
Molecule: ribosomal RNA, 313 nt
Filed under: uncultured bacterium
Lineage: Bacteria
Description: bacterial SSU rRNA
Rfam family: Bacterial small subunit ribosomal RNA
Source: RNAcentral